GGCGAACGCUGGCGGCGUGCUUAACACAUGCAAGUCGAACGGAAAGGCCUGCUUUCCCUUGUGGAUUGCGGGUACUCGAGUGGCGAACGGGUGAGUAACACGUGAGUGAUCUGCCCCCAACUUGGGUAUAAGCCUGGGAAACUGGGUCUAAUUCCCGAUAGGACUGCAGGGUGGUGCCUGUGGUGGAAAACGAUUUUCUAGUGGUUGGGGAUGAGCUCGCGGCCUAUCAGCUUGUUGGUGGGGUAAUGGCCUACCAAGGCGGCGACGGGUAGCCGGCCUGGGAGGGUGGACGGCCACAUUGGGACUGAGAUACGGCCCAGACUCCUACGGGAGGCAGCAGUGGGGAAUAUUGCACAAUGGGCGGAAGCCUGAUGCAGCGACGCCGCGUGGGGGAUGACGGCCUUCGGGUUGUAAACUCCUUUCGACCGCGAGGAAGCCACCUGGUUGGAAGGGUGGUGACGGUAGUGGUAGAAGAAGCACCGGCUAACUACGUG
RNAcentral lists this ribosomal RNA (494 nucleotides) under uncultured bacterium. Its description in RNAcentral is "partial 16S ribosomal RNA". It matches the Rfam family "Bacterial small subunit ribosomal RNA", at positions 28 to 507 of the family's 1533-position model. The record is from RNAcentral.